RNAcentral lists this unclassified non-coding RNA (258 nucleotides) under rhizosphere metagenome. RNAcentral describes it as "partial ribosomal RNA internal transcribed spacer region". The record is from RNAcentral.
GUAGGUGAACCUGCGGAAGGAUCAUUACCGAAUUGUCAACACGAGUUGUUGCUGGUCCUCAAAUGGGGGCAUGUGCACACUCUGUUUGCACAUCCACUCACACCUGUGCACCCUCCAUAGUUCUGCAGCCUGGGGGCUCUGUCCCCCCUGCUGUGGCUCUAUGUAUUUACACACACACACUGUGAUAAAGUCUUAUGGAAUGUAUGCCGCGUUUAACGCAAUACAAUACAACUUUCAGCAACGGAUCUCUUGGCUCUC